AUUGAACGCUGGCGGCAUGCUUUACACAUGCAAGUCGAACGGCAGCACGGGUGCUUGCACCUGGUGGCGAGUGGCGAACGGGUGAGUAAUGCAUCGGAACGUGCCCAUGAGUGGGGGAUAGCCCGGCGAAAGCCGGAUUAAUACCGCAUACGCCCUUAGGGGGAAAGCGGGGGAUCUUCGGACCUCGCGCUAUUGGAGCGGCCGAUGUCGGAUUAGCUAGUAGGUGAGGUAAAGGCUCACCUAGGCGACGAUCCGUAGCUGGUCUGAGAGGAUGAUCAGCCACACUGGGACUGAGACACGGCCCAGACUCCUACGGGAGGCAGCAGUGGGGAAUUUUGGACAAUGGGCGCAAGCCUGAUCCAGCCAUGCCGCGUGAGUGAAGAAGGCCUUCGG
This 393-nucleotide ribosomal RNA is filed under the name uncultured bacterium. RNAcentral describes it as "bacterial SSU rRNA". It matches the Rfam family "Bacterial small subunit ribosomal RNA", at positions 28 to 421 of the family's 1533-position model. The record is from RNAcentral.